RNAcentral lists this small RNA (225 nucleotides) under Sinorhizobium meliloti 2011. RNAcentral's name for it is "Long range pseudoknot". Lineage: Bacteria; Pseudomonadati; Pseudomonadota; Alphaproteobacteria; Hyphomicrobiales; Rhizobiaceae. The record is from RNAcentral.
AAGAUGAAGGCCAUGAACCGCUUCUUCGAGGAAGGCGACAAGGUCAAGGUGACGCUGAAGUUCCGCGGCCGCGAAAUGGCCCACCAGGAACUCGGCAUGAAACUUCUGAUGCAGGUCAAGGACGACACCCAGGAAAUCGCCAAGGUGGAAGCCGAACCCAAGCUCGAAGGCCGCCAGAUGAUGAUGGUGCUUGCGCCGAAGUGAUCGGCGGAGCCUGAUAGACCA